Molecule: small nucleolar RNA, 108 nt
Organism: Cephalotus follicularis
Lineage: Eukaryota; Viridiplantae; Streptophyta; Magnoliopsida; Oxalidales; Cephalotaceae
Rfam family: Plant small nucleolar RNA R71
About the family: R71 is a member of the C/D box family of snoRNAs containing the C (UGAUGA) and D (CUGA) box motifs.
Source: Rfam
AAACCAUGAUGAGGACACUCUAAGAGAAUAUCAUUAAACCGUUCCAUACACCAAGAAAAUGAUUCAUUGGGUUUUUUUACGAAACUGGAGAAUGUCGUUCCUAAGUUU